RNAcentral lists this long non-coding RNA (619 nucleotides) under Sinocyclocheilus grahami. RNAcentral's name for it is "lncRNA (ENSSGRG00000029476.1)". Lineage: Eukaryota; Metazoa; Chordata; Actinopteri; Cypriniformes; Cyprinidae. The record is from RNAcentral.
AUCAGUUAGGUUCAUCAGACACUGUAUAUUAAAUUCAGAAUGUAUUUCAAGAAUCAGAAUGCAAUGAUUUACUCCGAAACAUGCAUGUGGUGUGUUUGUGGUAGGCUGGCCGGGCGCACCUUAUUCUGUAGAUAUAUGUGAAGGUCUGGAGGACUGGAGUGGAGCAAACAGCCUCUCUAACCCGUCUGACACUGAGGAGGAGGACGCCGCACAUCUGGUAAGAGACGAACAUCCCACACUCACUCAGUCACUAACUCAUGUAGGGCGACACUUGUUAUUUUUUACUUAUACUUAACUUAUCUGUUUGUUUUAGGUUGCAGGCAGAUACAGGGCCUUCGUCGACUGGCGUAAAAAUGGGACGGAUAACUUCAUCAUUAGGUGUGGUGAUGUCAUACAACUACAGCAUGAGGAAAAUGAUGGCCAGUGGCUGGUGAAGAAUCUGAGUCGCAGACAGGAAGGCCGUAUCCCUACUGCCAACCUGCAGGGCAUCCUGGGAGAAAGCCUCAAGAAUCACUCCAACCGGCUUGGAGACCCAGGGAAUCGUAAAGCACGGAAGCUCAGCUCGCCAUGAAGGAAUGGCCCAGUUCAAUAUUGGACCUUUAAUAUUCACGCUUGGUAG